AUUGAACGCUGGCGGAAUGCUUUACACAUGCAAGUCGAACGGCAGCACGGACUUCGGUCUGGUGGCGAGUGGCGAACGGGUGAGUAAUGUAUCGGAACGUGCCCAGUCGUGGGGGAUAACGUAGUGAAAAUUACGCUAAUACCGCGUACGAUCUAUGGAAGAAAGCGGGGGAUCGCAAGACCUCGAGCGAUUGGAGCGGCCGAUAUCAGAUUAGGUAGUUGGUGGGGUAAAGGCCCACCAAGCCAACGAUCUGUAGCUGGUCUGAGAGGACGACCAGCCACACUGGAACUGAGACACGGUCCAGACUCCUACGGGAGGCAGCAGUGGGGAAUUUUGGACAAUGGGCGAAAGCCUGAUCCAGCCAUUCCGCGUGCAGGAUGAAGGCCCUCGGGUUGUAAACUGCUUUUGUACAGAACGAAAAGGUUUCUACUAAUACUAGGAGCUCAUGACGGUACUGUAAGAAUAAGCACCGGCUAACUACGUGCCAGCCGCCGCCGUAA
This 500-nucleotide ribosomal RNA is filed under the name uncultured bacterium. RNAcentral describes it as "partial 16S ribosomal RNA". It matches the Rfam family "Bacterial small subunit ribosomal RNA", at positions 30 to 523 of the family's 1533-position model. The record is from RNAcentral.